GAUGAACGCUGGCGGCGUGCCUAAUACAUGCAAGUCGAGCGAACGGACGAGAAGCUUGCUUCUCUGAUGUUAGCGGCGGACGGGUGAGUAACACGUGGAUACCCUACCUAUAAGACUGGGAUAACUUCGGGACACCGUAGCUAAUACCGGAUAAUAUUUUGAACCGCAUGGUUCAAAAGUGAAAGACGGUCUUGCUGUCACUUCUAGAUGGAUCCGCGCUGCAUUAGCUAGUUGGUAAGGUAACGGCUUACCAAGGCAACGAUGCAUAGCCGACCUGAGAGGGUGAUCGGCCACACUGGAACUGAGACACGGUCCAGACUCCUACGGGAGGCAGCAGUAGGGAAUCUUCCGCAGUGGGCGAAAGCCUGACGGAGCAACGCCGCGUGAGUGAUGAAGGUCUUCGGAUCGUAAAACUCUGUUAUUAGGGAAGAACAUAUGUGUAAGUAACUGUGCACAUCGUGACGGUACCUAAUCAGAAAGCCACGGCUAACUACGUG
RNAcentral lists this ribosomal RNA (497 nucleotides) under uncultured bacterium. Its description in RNAcentral is "partial 16S ribosomal RNA". It matches the Rfam family "Bacterial small subunit ribosomal RNA", at positions 28 to 507 of the family's 1533-position model. The record is from RNAcentral.